AUCCAUUUUCUUGUGCUUGUCAGCACAAAAUGGAAAGCUAUAAAACUGAGUUUGAAAACUUCCRWUAUUUUAAACAAACUAUUUGAAUAUGAAGUGCAAAAAUCCUGAAUGUCAAGAUCCAGACKUUUUWGAUAAAAUUGGAUCAUUGGCUUCAGAAUUUAAGUKSUGCCCAAAAUGUGGUGCGGCGAUAGGCCAGGACGACAGAAAUUUCAAUGGAGACACAAACGAUAACCAAGCUACAAGAACUCAAUCUACCGAGAAUGUUCAAGCUUCUUCUGUCGAAAGUGCUGAUCAAAAAUUAUCUAAUGAGAAAGCAAAGGGAACAACAACAGCAGAU
This is an RNA transcript of Exaiptasia diaphana, 337 nucleotides long. RefSeq lists it as uncharacterized. The transcript has 2 exons. The record is from RefSeq and is a predicted model, not a curated record. NCBI's taxonomy places the organism in Eukaryota, Metazoa, Cnidaria, Anthozoa, Actiniaria, Aiptasiidae.